ACAGAAUCCCUCUUCGAACUGGGCACCGUCGCCGCCCCACCAGGCCAGAAGUCCCCUCAAAUAUCUUCCGACGGAGGGACAUGCCGGACAGGGCCACCCAGUGCCAGGUGCGGCGAGCUUCCCGGAAGAACUGGGUUUAGGCCGAGAACCUGACUCGGAGGACAAAAGAGGGUUAUAGUCGAAGUUGUGUGGCUGCGAGAACCUGGGAUGGCAGUGCCGGCAGCCCUGGUCAGCUCCUCUUCGCCGUCGUCGACAUCGCUGAUCGGGCUCUGCCGGUUCUCCUCCGCAAGGCCGUCCUCCGCUUUGACUCGACCCAUCGUCGCGUUUGGUCGCCCUUCUUUCCCAUCUGGUUCUUCCAGUUCUGCUUCUUUCGCCGUUCCCUCCUCUCCCUUCACGGAGAGCAACUCUCUAGAGAGGCACCAACGGGACUCCUGGCUCUACAAGGGUGCUACCCCUCCUCUUCCUGCCCCUCCUCUCGACCCUCUGUCCUCCGGCAACGACGAAGGGAGCGCCGGCGACGGCAGGGAGGACGACAUCGCCCUGCAGCUGCCCGAGCUCAGGAGAUUGCUGGAGCUGCUGCGGGAGAAGAGUGGAAAUGAUGCCAGCGGGUCGCCGGUGGGCACUGUGGCACUGGUGGGGACAGGGCCUGGCGAUCCUGAGCUUCUGACGCUCAAGGCGGUUCGCGCCAUCGAGGGCGCCGAUCUCAUCCUCUACGACCGCCUCGUUUCCC
Molecule: long non-coding RNA, 730 nt
Filed under: Spirodela polyrhiza (greater duckweed)
Lineage: Eukaryota; Viridiplantae; Streptophyta; Magnoliopsida; Alismatales; Araceae
Description: long non-coding RNA (SPOL_LNC001452)
Source: RNAcentral